GGAUCGAUGAUGACUCCCACAAAUGCAUUCCUGGAAAUCUGAAACAAAAUGAGUGAGCCAUCACUACCGUCUCCUCAUCGGAACUGAGGUCC
Molecule: small nucleolar RNA, 92 nt
Filed under: Bison bison bison
Lineage: Eukaryota; Metazoa; Chordata; Mammalia; Artiodactyla; Bovidae
Description: Small nucleolar RNA SNORD116 (ENSBBBG00000007576.1)
Rfam family: Small nucleolar RNA SNORD116
About the family: HBII-85 is a member of the C/D class of snoRNAs, which contain the C (UGAUGA) and D (CUGA) box motifs.
Source: RNAcentral